RNAcentral lists this transfer RNA (73 nucleotides) under Vicugna pacos (alpaca). RNAcentral describes it as "tRNA-Ala (AGC) (tRNA-Ala-AGC-694-1)". It matches the Rfam family "tRNA". From Rfam's summary of the family: Transfer RNA (tRNA) molecules are approximately 80 nucleotides in length. Their secondary structure includes four short double-helical elements and three loops (D, anti-codon, and T loops). Lineage: Eukaryota; Metazoa; Chordata; Mammalia; Artiodactyla; Camelidae. The record is from RNAcentral.
GGAGGGUAUAGCUCAGUGGUAAAGUGCAUACUUAGCAUGUAUGAGGUCCUGGGUUCAAUCCCCAGUGCCUCCA